Molecule: ribosomal RNA, 494 nt
Filed under: uncultured bacterium
Lineage: Bacteria
Description: partial 16S ribosomal RNA
Rfam family: Bacterial small subunit ribosomal RNA
Source: RNAcentral
GACGAACGCUGGCGGCGUGCUUAACACAUGCAAGUCGAACGGAAAGGCCUGCUUUCCCUUGUGGAUUGCGGGUACUCGAGUGGCGAACGGGUGAGUAACACGUGAGUGAUCUGCCCCCAACUUGGGUAUAAGCCUGGGAAACUGGGUCUAAUUCCCGAUAGGACUGCAGGGUGGUGCCUGUGGUGGAAAACGAUUUUCUAGUGGUUGGGGAUGAGCUCGCGGCCUAUCAGCUUGUUGGUGGGGUAAUGGCCUACCAAGGCGGCGACGGGUAGCCGGCCUGAGAGGGUGGACGGCCACAUUGGAACUGAGAUACGGCCCAGACUCCUACGGGAGGCAGCAGUGGGGAAUAUUGCACAAUGGGCGGAAGCCUGAUGCAGCGACGCCGCGUGGGGGAUGACGGCCUUCGGGUUGUAAACUCCUUUCGACCGCGAGGAAGCCACCUGGUUGGAAGGGUGGUGACGGUAGUGGUAGAAGAAGCACCGGCUAACUACGUG